Molecule: non-coding RNA, 258 nt
Organism: Paramuricea clavata
Lineage: Eukaryota; Metazoa; Cnidaria; Anthozoa; Malacalcyonacea; Plexauridae
Source: the annotation of a GenBank genome assembly
GUUGUUUCAGAAAGUAAAAUGUAAAAACUUGCUCACUUGUAACCACAAUUAAUUACCGUAACCCUAACAAAACUCUAAAACUUUGCGAGGCAAAUUAACCCAACCAUCAAUUAACUCGACUUUUGAAUAUUGAAGAGUUCCGGCGCACUUCUGGCGAGGGAGACACCAAUUCUUAUUUGUUGAUAUCAGUAGGGCCCGUUGGUUAGAAAGCCGAUUAGCUUAAUCUUAGGUUAACGAAAAGUUCCAAAGCAAUCUUCC